CCUGGUGGUUCUUGCGAGGGGCCCCAACCCGUUCCCAUUCCGAACACGGCCGUGAAAACCCUCAGCGCCGAUGGUACUUCGUCUCAAGACGCGGGAGAGUAGGUCGCUGCCAGGC
This 115-nucleotide ribosomal RNA is filed under the name Siculibacillus sp. Lineage: Bacteria; Pseudomonadati; Pseudomonadota; Alphaproteobacteria; Hyphomicrobiales; Ancalomicrobiaceae. The record is from RNAcentral.